GAUGAACGCUGGCGGCGUGCCUAAUACAUGCAAGUCGAGCGAACGGACGCGAAGCUUGCUUCUCUGAUGUUAGCGGCGGACGGGUGAGUAACACGUGGAUACCCUCCCUAUAAGACUGGGAUAACUUCGGGAAACCGGCGAUAAUACCGGAUAAUCUUUUGCACCGCAUGGUUCAAAAGUGAAUGACGGUCUUGCUGUCACUUAUAGAUGGAUCCGCGCUGCAUUAGCUAGUUGGUAAGGUAACGGCUUACCAAGGCAACGAGGCAUAGCCGACCUGACAGGGUGAUAGGCCACACUGGAGCGGAGACACGGUCCAGAGGCCUACGAGAGGCAGCAGAAGGGAAUCUGCCGCAAUAGGCGAGAGCCUUGCGGAGCGACGCCGCGUGAGUGAUAAAAGUCCCGGGAGCGGAAAACUCUGUUAUGAGGUAAGAACAUAUGUGGAAGGAACUGUACACAUCGUGACGGUACCGAAUCAGAAAGCCACGGCUAACUACGUG
Molecule: ribosomal RNA, 497 nt
Filed under: uncultured bacterium
Lineage: Bacteria
Description: partial 16S ribosomal RNA
Rfam family: Bacterial small subunit ribosomal RNA
Source: RNAcentral